UUCCAUAAAGUUAUCCAGGAAAAAAUGCCUUGUACCAUUAGGUGGUGCUGUAUAUCACUUCCACUUUUCAAAGGUUUUUUUUUAAGUUUUUUUGAA
This is a non-coding RNA of Pseudonaja textilis, 96 nucleotides long. The record is from RefSeq and is a predicted model, not a curated record. Lineage: Eukaryota; Metazoa; Chordata; Lepidosauria; Squamata; Elapidae.